Anguilla rostrata (American eel) is the source of this 2863-nucleotide long non-coding RNA. RefSeq lists it as uncharacterized. The transcript has 2 exons. The record is from RefSeq and is a predicted model, not a curated record. NCBI's taxonomy places the organism in Eukaryota, Metazoa, Chordata, Actinopteri, Anguilliformes, Anguillidae.
UAGACAUAGGAAACGCAGUACCAAAAGUUGCGGAAAAUGCAAUGACUGAUAAAACCGCGGGAAAUGACCCGGGAGUAGUCGCCGUUAUUAGAGGAGAGCGAUGCAUGCAUCAGUGAGCAUUGCAUAGUGGCCUUUGUUUAUUGUGGCAGCGGAGGCGGGGCCCACCACCGACCAAAGCAGAGGCUAUUCAGAACGAGGGGUCUAUUGUGAGGGAGAUUUGGGAAAAGCGAGAAACGCCGUUCACUCGAUGCAACAGACUGACUAGCUUGUCCCGGGGAAGUGUUGGAAUAUGCCAAGAAUAAACAAGUGAAUUUAGGAAGGAUCUUGAUUGAUGAUGCCCACUCAUUCGACCUGGCAUCCCAGAAACAUUUUCAAAAGUUGUUAAAUUUUGUGUUCUGCUAUAACUAAGUAGCUAGCUGGUCAUCUUGCUACCAACGUUAGCUUACUAGCAAGCCAGCUAGCCUGCUAAUGGUAGCUAGGUUGCUAAAACUUUGAUAAACAUAUAACACGUAAUUGUACACAUAGCUAACUAGCCAGCUACAGUGCGGACGGUUGUGACAUGGACAAAUUAGUUUAAGAGGCUGUGGCCAGUAUUGCAAUGUCAGCUGUGACUCAAGGCAUGCAGGGCUGGAAUUCGUGAUCCAGGCCCCUCCCACCCCUCUCUCUUGUCCACUCCCAGGGUCAGGUAGGUAUGGGAUGCAGUGCAGUGUUGUACGAUCUUCUCCCAAUAUUGCACUCGUCCCGGCCUCCCUGACCCUUGGGAAACCACAUCUCCCUUUCAGGGGAGUGAGGGAAACAAUUGCCAGAGGUACCUGGUGGGACAACCAAGAAUUUCUCUGCAGGUUCACUGAAGCAAACAGGUGUCUGUUGGACAGAUGUUGUCAGAUGUUUUAAGAUAUGGAGGCAUUUGAUGGAUGUCAGUCUCUUAAAAUAUCUUUGUAUGUUUAUAGAAUAUUGGGCCCUUUCUUUGGAAAAAAAAUCAGCCAUGUGCCUUACUCCUUGCAGAUGUCUUUAUGGUUGUCUGUGUACACAUUCUAUUGAAUGGCUUUCUGGUACAAAUGUGACAUUACUGCACAGUUGUAGAAAAGGAAACAAGUUAUUCAAGAAUUAUGUAUUUUUAAAAAUACACUAAGUCAUUUCACAAGGAUACUAUAUAUAUAUAUAUAUAUACCAUAGCUUAGUGUGUGUAUCAGCAUUACUAUGGCACGAUAACACUAUAAAUGAAAAUAUCAGAAUUGUAUUUAAAGUGGAUUAUAAUGGUAUACUUUAUUGGCUUUCCUGUUUUUGUUUCGCUGAGGACUGCACUGUAUAGGACCACUUUUGUUUGGAAGUUUGUGACAUUGAUGGGGUCAUAAUACUAUAGGCCAACAGCGGCUGUGCAUAAACUCGAACAAUAAAUACGUUUGGUGUGCAAAAACACACAAGCAUACCUUAGAAAAGCAAAAACAACAAACAGUAAAUUGAAGCUCUUUGAAGUUGGCAUCCAUUUUAUUCAUGAUGGAGAGGUGUGGAGAUUUACACUCCGCCGUGGCAGUUUCGACAUGCUUUAAAAGCAAAGAACAAGACUGUGGCAGCGCUCCAGGGAAAAUAAACAGGUACUGCAUUGUAUCUCUGUCCCAUUGUGGACCAGGGCGGUCUGCCAGGCCCAGCAAACUCUUCAAAAACUGCGGUUCGCUUGCUCCACCUCCCACUGUCCCUGCCUGACCGCUGGCUGGCUGACUGCCACUGCCGCAGGCCCGUGCCAAGUCCGCCAGAGACCCUGUCAGCAGCCCUGACACCCUGCGAGAGGGCAGCGAUGUAGUGCACUGUGGGAUUGGGCAACGGCAGAGUAUCCCAGCAUUCUGAGGGCAGGGAAUCUGCCUGGCAGUUGCUAGAACUCACCAGAGGGAAGGGAGUCAGCUUUCACAUGUCCAGUUACUUUAAAGCACUGGUCUUAAACUUUUUAUUAUCGAGAUCAAAAUUAGAAUUUUUUUUUUUCAAAAUUAGAAUGCUUUUUUUUCAAGUACACAUACUAGCAUAGCCUAGUGGACUCUAGACUCAUUCCUGGACCCAUCUCGUACACUCCCAUGACCCAUAGUUUUAAGAAACACUUUUAAAAGUAUCCUUUUAGAAGAAACUUGAUUACGAUGUUAUGAUGCUCUGCUCAAACAUGCUCUGUCAAUGAUCUUUUCAUGGAGUGACUAAUUUUGUUUGUUUUUCUAUUUGACAUCUUUUAUGAAACGUAUUGUGUGUGUGUGUGUCAUACACAUGUAGACACACACAUACACACAGACUCAAUGUUACUUGUGAUUCUGUGGGAGCCUUUUACAAACCCUGUUUAAAUAUAAUAUUUAUUGGUAUAUUUAUGUCAGGUUUCAAAUAGGAUUGCUUAUGGUUACAUUUAAAAAAUUUGAAUUAAUAUUUAUUAAUUCAAAUUGUGACUCUCUUGAACAGCGGUCUAAGCAAGAAGGCACAGGUUGAGUGUGCUCUCUUCCUUUGCUACAGAAAUAAGUAAGGCAUGAACAGUGCCUCCGACAGGGAUCUGAACAGCAGACGGUGUUGGAAGUACAGAGAUGUGAUGCAAGCCACAGUCUUCAGUGCAGAGUGUCUGUGUCUCCUGGGGAUAAGUCUCGCUGGUAAUAACCAGGUAUCUGAUGUGUGAAUCAACAGCAGAUUACUGUAGAGCAUGUCAGUGUGGACUGGCGAGCUGCCUUUGUUCAGUGAUAAUCGCAGAAAGAAACCUCCAAGUUGAAAUUUUUGAUGAAUGAGGAAUUCAGCGACCUAGGAGUGGUUGUGGUUGAGGCGAACCUUUCAUAUUUGCUCCUUAACAGUUUGAUGUUUUGUUGAAUUGUCAUUUAGGAGAAAUAAAGGUUUUUUAAAAUGA